Long non-coding RNA from Oncorhynchus masou masou (cherry salmon), 1136 nucleotides. RefSeq lists it as uncharacterized. NCBI's taxonomy places the organism in Eukaryota, Metazoa, Chordata, Actinopteri, Salmoniformes, Salmonidae. The transcript has 2 exons. The record is from RefSeq and is a predicted model, not a curated record.
AGGCACAGUGUCUCCCACACCGCUCCUGUCUCAGCCUCCAGUAUUAAUGCUGCAAUAUUUUAUGUGUCCGGGGGCUAGGGACCUGAGCCCUAGGACCAUGGCUCAGGACUAUCUGGCCUGAUGACACCUUGCUGUCCAGUCCACCUGGCCGUGCUGCUGCUGCUCCAGUUUCAACUGUUAUGCCUGCGGCUAUGGAACCCUGACCUGUUCACUGGACGUGCUACCUUCUCCCAGACCUUCUGUUUGGGACUCUCUCUACCGCACCUGCUGUCUCUAACUCUGAAUGAUCAGCUAUGAAAAGCCAACUGACAUCUACUCCUGAGGUGCUGUCCUGUUGCACCCUCGACAACCACUGUGAUUAUUAUUAUAUGACCCUUCUGGUCAUCUAUGAACAUUUGAACAUCUUGGCCAUGUUCUGUUAUAAUGAGGACUGGCCACCCCUCAGAUCCUGGUUCCUCUCUAGGUUUCUUCCUAGUUUCUUCCAUUUCUAGUGAGUUUUUCCUAGCCACCGUGCUUCUACAUCUGCAUUGCAUGCUGUUUGGGGUUUUAAGCUGGGUUUCUGUACAGCACUUUGUGACAUCGGCCAAUGUAAAAAGGGCUUUAUAAAUAGAUUUGAUAGAUAUGAUUGAUACAGGCAACCUUCCUAUCUUAGUUGCUGGAGAGGAAGGACACCAUUCAGGGAUUUCACCAUGGGGCCAAUGGUGACUUUAAGACAGUUAAAGUUGAAUGGCUGUUAUAGGAGAAAACAGAGGAUGGAUCAACAACAUUGUCGUUACUCCACAAUACUAACCUAAAUGAGUGAAAAUAAGGAAGCUUCUACAGAAGAAAAAUAUUCCAGAACAUGCAUCCUGUCUGCAAUAAGAAAUUCCCUUUAUGUUCUGAAUACAAAGUGUAAUGCUUGGGGCAAAUCCAACACAUCACUGAGAACCACGCUUCAUAUUUUCAAGCAUGAUGGUGGCUGCAUCACGUUAUGGGUAUGCUUGUCAAUAUAUGAGAAAAUUAUUUUAUCACUGUUCUGCAACAUAUGUUUAUCACUGUUCUGCCCCCGUCCCCACAGGAGGUCUUUUGCCUUUUGGUAGGCUGUCAUUGUAAAUAUUUUUUUUCAUGUUUUUUUUUUUAAACUGACUUGCCUAGUU